This 497-nucleotide ribosomal RNA is filed under the name uncultured bacterium. RNAcentral describes it as "partial 16S ribosomal RNA". It matches the Rfam family "Bacterial small subunit ribosomal RNA", at positions 28 to 507 of the family's 1533-position model. The record is from RNAcentral.
GAUGAACGCUGGCGGCGUGCCUAAUACAUGCAAGUCGAGCGAACAGACGAGGAGCUUGCUCCUCUGACGUUAGCGGCGGACGGGUGAGUAACACGUGGAUAACCUACCUAUAAGACUGGGAUAACUUCGGGAAACCGGAGCUAAUACCGGAUAAUAUAUUGAACCGCAUGGUUCAAUAGUGAAAGACGGUUUUGCUGUCACUUAUAGAUGGAUCCGCGCCGCAUUAGCUAGUUGGUAAGGUAACGGCUUGCCAAGGCAACGAUGCGUAGCCGACCUGAGAGGGUGAUCGGCCACACUGGAACUGAGACACGGUCCAGACUCCUACGGGAGGCAGCAGUAGGGAAUCUUCCGCAAUGGGCGAAAGCCUGACGGAGCAACGCCGCGUGAGAGAUGAAGGUCUUCGGAUCGUAAAACUCUGUUAUUAGGGAAGAACAAAUGUGUAAGUAACUAUGCACGUCUUGACGGUACCUAAUCAGAAAGCCACGGCUAACUACGUG